RNAcentral lists this ribosomal RNA (393 nucleotides) under uncultured bacterium. RNAcentral describes it as "bacterial SSU rRNA". It matches the Rfam family "Bacterial small subunit ribosomal RNA", at positions 30 to 424 of the family's 1533-position model. The record is from RNAcentral.
AUUGAACGCUGGCGGCAUGCCUUACACAUGCAAGUCGAACGGCAGCACGGGGGCAACCCUGGUGGUGAGUGGCGAACGGGUGAGUAACAUAUCGGAACAUACCCUAGAGUGGGGGAUAACGUAGCGAAAGUUACGCUAAUACCGCAUACGAUCUAAGGAUGAAAGUGGGGGAUCUUCGGACCUCAUGCUCAUGGAGUGGCCGAUAUCUGAUUAGCUAGUUGGUGAGGUAAAGGCUCACCAAGGCGACGAUCAGUAGCUGGUUUGAGAGAACGACCAGCCACACUGGAACUGAGACACGGUCCAGACUCCUACGGAGGCAGCAGUGGGGAAUUUUGGACAAUGGGGGCAACCCUGAUCCAGCAAUGCCGCGUGAGUGAAGAAGGCCUUCGGGUU